Molecule: ribosomal RNA, 292 nt
Filed under: uncultured bacterium
Lineage: Bacteria
Description: partial 16S ribosomal RNA
Rfam family: Bacterial small subunit ribosomal RNA
Source: RNAcentral
GUGUCAGCAGCCGCGGUAAGACGAACCGUGCAAACGUUAUUCGGAAUCACUGGGCAUAAAGGGCGCGUAGGCGGCUUUCUAAGUCAGGGGUGAAAUCCGGCAGCUCAACUGUCGCAGUGCCUUUGAUACUGGAGAGCUCGAGGGAGGUAGGGGUCUGUGGAACUUCCGGUGGAGCGGUGAAAUGCGUUGAUAUCGGAAGGAACGCCGGUGGCGAAAGCGACGGACUGGAUCUCUUCUGACGCUGAGGCGCGAAAGCCAGGGGAGCAAACGGGAUUAGAUACCCCCGUAGUCC